RNAcentral lists this ribosomal RNA (444 nucleotides) under Flavobacterium sp. IGS73. RNAcentral's name for it is "bacterial SSU rRNA". It matches the Rfam family "Bacterial small subunit ribosomal RNA", at positions 22 to 467 of the family's 1533-position model. Lineage: Bacteria; Pseudomonadati; Bacteroidota; Flavobacteriia; Flavobacteriales; Flavobacteriaceae. The record is from RNAcentral.
GCUCAGGAUGAACGCUAGCGGCAGGCUUAACACAUGCAAGUCGAGGGGUAUAGUUCUUCGGAACUAGAGACCGGCGCACGGGUGCGUAACGCGUAUGCAAUCUACCUUUUACAGGGGGAUAGCCCAGAGAAAUUUGGAUUAAUACCCCAUAGUAUAAUUGAAUGGCAUCAUUUAAUAAUUAAAGUCACAACGGUAAAAGAUGAGCAUGCGUCCCAUUAGCUAGUUGGUAAGGUAACGGCUUACCAAGGCAACGAUGGGUAGGGGUCCUGAGAGGGAGAUCCCCCACACUGGUACUGAGACACGGACCAGACUCCUACGGGAGGCAGCAGUGAGGAAUAUUGGUCAAUGGGCGCAAGCCUGAACCAGCCAUGCCGCGUGCAGGAUGACGGUCCUAUGGAUUGUAAACUGCUUUUGCACAGGAAGAAACACUGAUUCGUGAAUCAG